AUAUCAUAGAGUAUUCUCCCUCAAACAGUUUGAAGGUUAGAGAUCCCUUGUUGCGCAUUCACUUGCCUCCAUGGUUAAGUGGCUUAACCCCAACGAUGCCAUGGACACCCCGAUGGGGUGACUUUGACAUAAUCAAAGAUUAAGGACUUAACCACAAGACAACUGUGAUGCCUCAGGUCAAAGGACUACUUUGCAUUAUCCCAACCAUGAGUUCUCAUGUGACAUGAGUAUGAGAACUCUUCGUUGAUCGCGUUCAGUGAACUCAUUCUCUACUGAGCACCUAUGUACUUGUCUUGAUGUCACACACACCAAUGACUCGAGACU
This 324-nucleotide long non-coding RNA is filed under the name Malus domestica (apple). RNAcentral's name for it is "long non-coding RNA (MDOM_LNC017040)". Lineage: Eukaryota; Viridiplantae; Streptophyta; Magnoliopsida; Rosales; Rosaceae. The record is from RNAcentral.